UCUCCCUUCCGCCCCCCUCGCUGCCCCGCUCGGGCGGGCGCUGCCCUGUGCCCGGCCUCCCCCGGCAGGCGCGCGGCAGCAGGGGGGCGGGGCGGGCGAGCAGGCGCGGAUCGCUCCGGCACGGGGCGUUGGGUUAGUGGGGGCGGCGGCCAGGGGGCUGUGGCGUGACUGGCACGGGCAGGGCCCAGCGGGCAGAGGAGCAGAUGGCUCAUUACCCGAGCCACAGCAGAACUAGAACUAGGGGCUGGAACCUGGACGUUGGGCAGAUCCAGACCGGAAACCAAGUGGAAAGUUUUUCCCCACUGUGAAAAUAAUUAGCCCUGGGAACAACUGCUGAGACUUCAUGAAAUUCUCUUUCCCCGUUAUGCUGGAGGUCCAGUUAAAUGACCAUAAUGAUCUAUUCAAGCCUUAAAAUCAUGAAAUUAUACACAGCACUGAUCUGGCAUGUACGUGAUGCCUGAGAUGUAACUCGGUCCUCAAGUACUACAGUCACAUUGAUUGGAAUCCACAAAAGUACCGAGACACCAAAGUCCUGUUUUCAGGCAUCAGCGUACACCAUAAAACUCAGCUCAGCAGCCACCCACCCAGGUAUAUGCCUCUAUAUAUGCAGGAAAAUAUUCCAAUGGCCCUUUCUGCUACCAACCAUCAGACGUAGUUUUUUCAACAUUACUGCUUUCCACAUUUCCACCUCCAAUUGAAUGUUUCAGCGCUUUCCCCCUAAAUUUACUAACAAGAAAAGCAUGGGCUUACAGACGUUACUCGUGUAAAACUUCCAUUGAAGGAAUAACUGCAUGAAGUCUGCAGGAAUGGACUCCCAGUUACAGAUUUUAAACUCCAGGAACCAAGAAGGGUUUAAUUUCCUAGGAUUUCAAUUACUUUAAGUUCAAAACUUCUGUCAGGAAUCUAUUGUUAUCAGGAGAAACCUUCAGGAACAUUAAUUAUGGAAUAGGGGAGUCACAAGAUGCCACUUUUGGAGAGUGGAUGCUGACAGCUGUAUUCUCUAUUGGUGGUUUUUCCUGUACCUAUCCUGUGGUGGUUCUAGCAUUGAGCAUUACUACUUCAAUGAACUUGUGAGGCAUAGGACAUUGUUGACAGGCCUUUCCUACCGUUUAACUGGACUUCUCCAAGUUCUCCUGUGCAAGCCCACACCUGCCACCUUUAUCUUGUGUUGGUGGCGUUGGGCCCCAGCUCAGUUUUGCAGCCCUCUUUCUCAAGGAAGUGACUUCAGGGGAAUAUUGCUUCUAUCGCUCUCUGAUGAGAAGCUUCGUUCAACAGCUGCCAACAUCAGGAAAAAAAUGGCACUUUCUGAUGAAAAGACUGCAAGAAACCCAGCAACUUUACAACCACUGCCAGUCUCCCACCAUAUGCCAAAUUCAGCAAAUCUUCCCCA
Molecule: long non-coding RNA, 1390 nt
Organism: Mauremys reevesii (Reeves's turtle)
Lineage: Eukaryota; Metazoa; Chordata; Testudines; Geoemydidae
Exons: 6
Source: RefSeq, a predicted model, not a curated record